GACGAACGCUGGCGGCGUGCCUAACACAUGCAAGUCGAGCGAGGAGAGUUCCUUCGGGAACAAACCUAGCGGCGACGGGUGAGUAACACGUGGGCAACCUGCCUUGUAGAGGGAAUAGCCUUCCGAAAGGAAGAUUAAUACCGCAUAACAUUACAGUUUCGCAUGAAACAGUAAUUAAAGGAGUAAUCCGCUACAAGAUGGGCCCGCGGCGCAUUAGCUAGUUGGUGAGGUAACGGCUCACCAAGGCGACGAUGCGUAGCCGACCUGAGAGGGUGAUCGGCCACAUUGGGACUGAGACACGGCCCAGACUCCUACGGGAGGCAGCAGUGGGGAAUAUUGCACAAUGGGGGAAACCCUGAUGCAGCAACGCCGCGUGAGUGAUGAAGGUUUUCGGAUCGUAAAGCUCUGUCUUCGGGGACGAUAAUGACGGUACCCGAGGAGGAAGCCACGGCUAACUACGUG
This 462-nucleotide ribosomal RNA is filed under the name uncultured bacterium. RNAcentral describes it as "bacterial SSU rRNA". It matches the Rfam family "Bacterial small subunit ribosomal RNA", at positions 28 to 507 of the family's 1533-position model. The record is from RNAcentral.